Molecule: transfer RNA, 74 nt
Filed under: Microbacteriaceae bacterium
Lineage: Bacteria; Bacillati; Actinomycetota; Actinomycetes; Micrococcales; Microbacteriaceae
Description: tRNA-Ile
Rfam family: tRNA
About the family: Transfer RNA (tRNA) molecules are approximately 80 nucleotides in length. Their secondary structure includes four short double-helical elements and three loops (D, anti-codon, and T loops).
Source: RNAcentral
GGGGCGGUAGCUCAGCCGGUCAGAGCAGCUGACUCAUAAUCAGCCAGUCACGGGUUCGAGUCCCGUCCGCCCCA